UACGUAGGGGGCAAGCGUUAUCCGGAUUUACUGGGUGUAAAGGGAGCGUAGACGGUAGUGUAAGUCUGAUGUGAAAGCCCGGGGCUCAACCCCGGGACUGCAUUGGAAACUAUGUAACUAGAGUACCGGAGAGGUAAGCGGAAUUCCUAGUGUAGCGGUGAAAUGCGUAGAUAUUAGGAGGAACACCAGUGGCGAAGGCGGCUUACUGGACGGAAACUGACGUUGAGGCUCGAAAGCGUGGGAAGCAAACAGG
RNAcentral lists this ribosomal RNA (253 nucleotides) under uncultured bacterium. Its description in RNAcentral is "partial 16S ribosomal RNA". It matches the Rfam family "Bacterial small subunit ribosomal RNA", at positions 524 to 776 of the family's 1533-position model. The record is from RNAcentral.